Molecule: small RNA, 1074 nt
Filed under: Pongo abelii (Sumatran orangutan)
Lineage: Eukaryota; Metazoa; Chordata; Mammalia; Primates; Hominidae
Description: retained intron
Source: RNAcentral
AUUGGCUAUCGGCCGCGGCAAAGGCAGCUUGGGGACCCAGCGUGCGCGGGGCCCGCGGGCCGGGCCGGGGUGACCUGGGCUGCAGCCAUGGAAGAACAGAGGAAUGAAGAAAUUCAGAGCUUUAUCUACUCCCUGAAACAGAUGCUGCUGAACGUGGAGGCGAACUCGGCGAAGGUGCAGGAGGACCUCGAAGCAGAGUUCCAGUCCCUCUUCUCCCUCCUGGAGGAGCUGAAAGAAGGCAUGCUUAUGAAGAUAAAACAGGACCGUGCCAGCCGCACCUACGAGCUGCAGAACCAGCUGGCUGCCUGCACGCGGGCCCUAGAGAGCUCCGAGGAGCUUCUGGAGACAGCCAACCAGACUCUGCAGGCCAUGGACAGCGAGGACUUUCCUCAGGCUGCCAAGCAAAUCAAAGAUGGAGUGACCAUGGCCCCUGCCUUCCGGCUGUCAUUGAAAGCGAAGGUCAGUGACAACAUGAGUCACCUCAUGGUGGACUUCGCACAAGAGCGGCAGAUGCUGCAGGCACUCAAGUUCCUGCCUGGUGAGAGGGGCACGCGCUGGAGGGCCAGGACUUCCAGGGAAUGACCUGGGAGGCUAGGAGGCCCUGAAACAGGACCUGGAGUAAGGUGGACGGCCCGGUGUCUGAAUUCCGCCGGGGGGAGGUGGAGCUCUGAGAAUUCCACGCCCUGUGGGGGGUGGAGUCCUCAUGGAGCCCCGCCCCUGGGUGGAGCCAUGGGAAGACCCCCCCACCUACUGUGUAGUGACAUCCUGGGAAAACUGUCCCCAGGGAUGGAGCUGUGAGAAUACCAUGUCCUGUGGGGGUGGUUGAGUCCUCAUGAAGCCCCGCCCUGGGGUGGAGCUAUGAGAAGGCCAAACUCACCAGGUGGGAAAAUCCUGUCCCCAGGGGUGGAGCCCUGAGAAUAGCACAUCCUGUGGGGGUGGGGUAUUCAUCAAGUCCCGCCCAUGGGUGGAGCCAUCAGAAAGCUCCACCCACCAGGGGGUGAGGUCCUGGGAAAACUCUGUCCCCAGGGGUGGAGCCCUGAGAAUACCAUGCCCUUGGGGGAGUAGCGUCCUCCU